CAUUAUUGAAUAAACUUGAUGGGGGGGUUGCUGCUGGUGGCUCUUUUGGUACAUGUGCACACCCCAACACCAUUUUUAAAACCACCACUGUGCACUCUGUGUAGACCUAGGGUGAUAACUCUCGAGGUGACUCGGUUUGAGGACUGACUAACUGCUGUGUGGCAGGAUGACUGUCCUUGCAUUCCCUGGUCUAUGUUUUUCAUACACUCCACUAGUAUGUCAUUGAAUGUAUUUUAAUUGGGCUCUGUUUGUCCUUUAAAUUUGUACAACUUUCAACAACGGAUCUCUUGGCUCUCGCAUCGAUGAAGAACGCAGCGAAAUGCGAUAAGUAAUGUGAAUUGCAGAAUUCAGUGAAUCAUCGAAUCUUUGAACGCACCUUGCGCUCCUUGGUAUUCUGAGGAGCAUGCCUGUUUGAGUGUCAUUAAAUUCUCAACCUUCUCCAGCUUUUGGAGUUGUGCUUGGAUGUGGGGGAUGUGGGCUUCUCAGAAGUCAGCUCCUCUCAAAAGCAUUAGCAGGAUCUUAUGUGGACCAGCUCCAUGGUGUGAUAAUUGUCAUCUACUCCAUAGCUGUGAAGCAAAUUUUUCGAGGUCCAGCUUUCAUUAGAUGAUAAAAUCGUGACAGCUUUG
Molecule: ribosomal RNA, 626 nt
Filed under: Catathelasma ventricosum
Lineage: Eukaryota; Fungi; Basidiomycota; Agaricomycetes; Agaricales; Biannulariaceae
Description: eukaryotic LSU rRNA
Rfam family: 5.8S ribosomal RNA (bases 268-421)
Source: RNAcentral